GUUUGUAGCUUAGUGGUAGAAUACUUGCCUAGUAUGCAUGAGGCACUGGGUUCAACCCUCAACACAAAAUA
This 71-nucleotide transfer RNA is filed under the name Marmota monax (woodchuck). Its description in RNAcentral is "tRNA.Thr". The record is from RNAcentral. Lineage: Eukaryota; Metazoa; Chordata; Mammalia; Rodentia; Sciuridae.